UGGACGAUAAAGCCGAGGCUGGACUCUCGUCCCGGUGGCGAUGGGGAAGCCAGGGGACACCACCCUUUUGUAUCAUUCUGCUUGUGAUCCGAGGACCCGAGGCAGCAAGGAGGACCCGGGGCAGGGAGGCCACUGUCACGGCUCGAGAGCUCUCCGUCUGCAGAGAGAAGCAGAAUCACCAUCAGCUUCUAAGACGAUCUCCUGAAUGAGUGGGUGACGUGAGGAACCUCAACUCUCGGAGGCCCCGUCCUCGCAGGCACAGACCCUGAGACCCUGGGCUCUCGCCCCCGGUGACCUAUCUCAGGCAAAAUAUUGAUCAUGCUGGAACUGUCACAUCAGCUCUGGGACAAAAGCUUUGCUUCCGUAACGGGUUGAACUGGUGCCACGACCUCCAUCGAGGAAACCAGCCAACACACCAUUUGGGGAUUCGAGAAUGCUGAAGUGUUCAGCGGUACAGCCUUCCUUUCACAACAGCCAAAAAGUGGAAACAACCCACAUGUCCAUUGACGGAUGGAUGGAUAAACAAAAUGUGGUCCAUGCCUGCAGUGGAAUAUGAUUCAGCCGUAAAAAGGGCUGAAGCCCUGACACGUGCUACAAUACGGAUGAACCUUGAAAACAUCAUGUCCUGUGAAAGAAGGCAGACCCAAAAGGACAAAAACUGCAUGAUUCUAUUUACAUAAAGUACCCCAAAUAUGUAAAUUCAUAGAGACAGAAAGUAGAUUAGAGGUUGCCGAGGGCUGGGGGCGGGCAAAAUGGGGAGUUAUUGCUCAAUGGGGACAGAGUUUCUGUUUGCGAUGAUGACAAAAAGAAAUAGGCGGUGGUGAUGGUUACACGACAGGCGGAUGUGUGAAUGCCAUUGCACUGCACACCUAGAAAGGAUUUACAAGGUAAAUUUUAUGUCAUGUGUAUUUUAUGACAAUUUUUUUAAAUGGGAAGAAAAGUGGCCUUUCUGCUCUUGGUGUAUGGAACUCCCUUCUCCACACUGGGGACGGCCCUCAAGGAAGCUGGGUGGACAGUGUGUAGUUGUGACGGACAUUCUAUCAGCCCUCCACCCCCCCACCCCCUGCCCCAGGCACCCCUUUGAUGGGCAUCUGCAUGGGAAGGACCCCUUCCCCCUUCCUCCCUCCCUCCUUUGCGCUUUACUUUCUUACUUCUGUCCCUCCCCUUCUAAUGUUUUUCUUCCCAAUAUUCAGUUGAGAAAAUGUAACAUCUACCCAAGUAGUGCCCGUUCUCACACACAAAGUGAUGCUUUAUUGAGCCCUCCCUGUGUGGCUGCUGUUCACUGGGCACAGUGAACACAUUUAGCCUCUCAGCAGCCCUCACGGUAGGUACCGUCAUUGCUCCCAUUUCACAGAUGAGAACACUGAGGCUCAGAGUCAGCCAGUAAGUGGAGGCGCUGGCAUGUGAACCGUGCUGUCAGGCUGCUGUGUCUUCUCCUGGUCCCUGUCCCUUUCUGUUCCCUACAUUAGUGGGUAUAGAUUCACCACAGACCUAUGGAGACCAAGUGAGAGCACGCUAUUCAUGGCGUGCUUUUCCCACUAGGCUCUGAACAGAGGCAGCCUUUUCUGAUCUCCCUUCACUUCAUUUCCUCCCGGGAAUGUCUGAAGGCACUGAAGGAGAGCAGAACCCCUUUCCUCUACCCCUCGAGUGUAAACAUUUCAGCACCAUGCUGCCAGAGGAGGAAAAAAAAUCCCCACCUCCUGUUAAAAAACCAGAAAACCAGGCUGUGGAGAAUCAAAGGGAGCUUUGUACCGGGAGCCACCGUGGAGAGGGGAGAUGGGGGCCCUUCCAGGGCCAAGCCUCACCCUACCCCCGCCCCCGUAAGACUGGAAUCACAGCCUGAUGGCUCAGGAGAACAGGCAGGACCAAAGCCGGGAUCAACUGUGGAUCCAGCUCUGAGCACUGAGAUGGGUCUUUCCUCGCAGGCAGGGCUGAGGUUGCCAGCUAGGGCAGGGGGCUUGGGUUCUGCUACAAGGGGUUGAACUUGCUUAACUGGGGCCCCCAGAACAGUGAGUCUCCCCUUAAUUCUGUGGUGAGAGCUCCCCUCACCCCACCCCAUCCCCUGCCUGCUUCUUUAUCUCAGGUGACUUGAAAACAAAACAAUUUUCAUGUUAAGAAAUAGAGGCCUGUGAAACUUUGGUGGCGGAGGGAAAGUGGGCACAUUUAGUCAAACCUAUAGGAAGGGGCUUCGGGGCUUUCAAGAGGCUGGAAAUCACCACUGACUCUUCUGUCCCCCUAACCACACACUUCAUGGAGGUCUCUUCACAGUAUAGACAGAGAAGGGUGUGGUGGGCUGGGCUCUGGGUAAUUCUGUAGGCACUGUGCUCACGACUCUGGGAAUUUAACACCAGGCACAUAAGGCGCUCUCAUUAUGAACGUUCCCCGAAGAUUCGAAUGAAGUAGGGGACACAGGACACCACCAAGUCAUGCUCAGCUCCCAGGGGACUGAUCACAAGCUAGCAUCGUGCUUCAAAGAUGACCGUACACGCCGUGUGAGUGCCCACCAAGUGCCAGGCACUUACAAUUAUUAGAAGUCGAUUCAUCCCCACUACAGACCAAGGAGGCAGGCACUGUGAGCGCCCAUUUUACAGAUGAGGAAACUGAGGCACAGAAAGGUUAAGUAACUUGCCCAAGAACACACAGAUAGUAAGCCGUAGAUAUGAGAUUCAAAACCAGGCAGUCUGGGAGCCCGUGCACGAAAAUCCUGCAUUACACAUGUGCCCAAAAUAUUGAUGCUUUCAGACAGAGGAAAGCAUGGAGAAGCACACGCCCCUGGGCAGACAGACAGACAUGCAAGCACACACACUAAUAAAAGAUUCCUUCCUUGGACAACCUGCAUGGCAGGAGCCCAGAGAUUCUGCUGUUGCUGUUUGUUUUUUCAUUUUAUUAUGACUUUUAAUUUUAGCAUAGGUUAAGACUCACAAGAAGUUGCUAAAAAAAAAAAAAAAAGUACAGAGUCCUGCCUGCUCUCCUGAAUCCCAUGUACCCUUCACCCAGCUUCCCCCAGUGCUGACCUCUGACACCCAGAGCACGUGUCAAGGUAGGGAAUCCACACAAGGAGGAUGCUAUGAACUCUGGCAGAGACCUUACUCGGAUUUUAGUUUUUAGAGGAGUGAAAACAUAGUAAAAUAGCUCAGCCUUUUGGUUUGAACUGAGGAGGCUGGACUCACCGAGGGCGGCAAUCUGAAAGGAUUUUAAGAUUUAGCAUCUCUACAGGUGUCAUUUCACAGAGCACCCCGCAGCGGGCUCAAGGCUGGGAAAACAGGCUAAGUCUGCCCUUCCCUGGUCCAGACACUCAAAUCCCAGACUGGAAGGGGAGGGGGUGCCAAGGGCCUCAGGGCAGCAAGGAGCAGACCCCGCUCAGGAUUCGAACCUGCUUCCUGCCUACAGUCUGUUCAGGGCAUCCCCACAGCAGUGGAAUAAGAGCCUGGGAGGAGAGCGAGGGCCAGGAGGUGGCAGCUGGAGGUGGGGCGAUUCCACGGGCCCAGAGCUUCACCUGCUGCCUCCAAACCCCGGCCGGCCCGGAGCUGUGAGCAAAGGAUCAAUCUAGGCGGAGGAGGCGCGCCCUGGGGGCAGAGCUGCAGCCUCAGCCGUUUCCUCGGAAGGAGCUUUUUAAAAGGGGAAGCGUCAUCUACAUAUAAUGAAACGCACAGAUCUGCGUUUGACACUCGUCUACACCUGCAUCACUAACAUCCCAGUCAAGAUCUAGAACAUCCCGUCCCCCACCCCCGCAGAGAGAGUCCAGCCUCUUCCGCUUAAUCCCCCCAGAGGUAACCGCUAGGCUGACCUCCGUCACCUAAGCCAGGUCUCCUCCGCUCUAGAAUUGCCCAUGAAUGGAAUCACGUGGUGGUUUUGCAUCCGGCUUCUCUCCCUGCGCCUCGUGAACCGGACACUGGUCCGCGCCGUGUGCCUGCAGCUCCUCUGGGUCACGGGCUAAGGCCUUCAUUGUGUGGACACACCGCCCGUGGUUUACCCACCCACCUGCUGAUGGAUAUUUGGGUAGUUUCCAGAUUCAGCCUGUUACAAAGAAAGCUGCUGUACACAUUCACACAUAGAGCUUCGCGUGCACAUCCGCGCUCCAUCCUCUCGGGUAAUUACCUGGGAGUGGAGCUUCGGGGCUCGGGGGAGGAGUGUGUUGAACUUUACGGAGAGCACUUUGGAGGGAGCUGCUCUUAGCAUCGCUGCCGCUGUUCUAAGCCACCCCAUUCGUGGUCGCUUGUCCCAGCAGCCCCAGGAAAACGAAUACAGCCGACCUUUCCAAGGAAAACCGAGGCCCAGGACAGGACGUGACUGGCAUGGAGUGUUCCUCUUACAGCUCGAGUGAGGACAAGUCCGCGUUUCAGCCCUUCACACAGACCUGGGGGAAAUGCAGACCCGCCCUGGGCCUCGCGGAGGGUGUCUGGGCGAUCGGCCAGCCGCUGUCCCUCCCGGCUCAGCUACAAGCUUCUAUCAAGCGCUACUCUGUGCUCCAUCUGAGCCGCUGAGCCCUCGGGAGGGAUGGGGAACGUCGAUUCGGGUAUCAACAAACCUUUUGGAGCAACUCUCUGAGCCUCCGGUGAUGCAGAGGUGAAUAAACUACUGUUUUGUCCUGUAGAGCCGGUAGUCUGAUGGGCAAAACAGUCGUAAAGAGACAACGAGAGUUAGGACACUGAGUUCUAAGCACCGUAAGGAGGGUGGGUCCUCACUGAGGUCGGGGAGACAGGGGCCGUCGAGGUGACAGUGGGGGAGGGAAGUGGUCUCUGGGCUGAACCUUAAAAGACCAGCACCGAUUAGCCAGGUGGGUGUUGGGGGAAGGGACUGCCAAGAUGGGGAAGAGCCUGCGCAAAGGCCCAGAGGCUCGCCCAGGGGACUGUGAGAGGAAAUAACAAGCAAUGGGCCAGCGGAGGCCAGAUCACGCAAGGCCUCACCUGUCAUGCCGUGGAGGUGAGACCCUGAAAGCCACGGGGGAACUUUGAAGACUUUAAGGAGGAAACUGACAUGCAUAGAUUUGCUCUCUAAAAAAAGAAAAUCACUACAACACAAAACAAAACACCAGGAUGACAGAGUAGAGGGUGGCAGUAUAGGGCAGUGGUUAGAGCGUAGGCCUGGGAAACAGCCUGGGUUCACAUCCUGGCUCUGCCCCUUGUUAUGUGGUCUUGGGCGAGUUUACUCUCUGUGCCUAAGUGUCCUUCCCUGUAAAAUGGGGAUAAAAUUAGUCUCUACGUUAUAAGGUUAUGAGGAGGCUUAGAAGAGUGAAAACCUGAAAGGGGGCUUCCCUGGUGGCGCAGUGGCUGAGAGUCCGCCUGCCGAUGCAGGGGACACGGGUUCGUGCCCCGGUCCGGGAAGAUCCCACAUGCCACGAGCGGCUGGGCCCGUGAGCCAUGGCCGCUGAGCCUGCGCGUCCGGAGCCUGUGCUCCACAACGGGAGAGGCCACAACAGCGAGAGGCCCGCGUACCGCAGAGAGAAAACAACAACAACAACAACAACAACAAAAACCCUGGAAGGUUUAGCAGCCACCUGGCACACGGUAAGAGGUGAAUAAACGGGAACUAUUUUAGGGAGGGGAGUUGGGGUCAUCAUCCAGGUGGUGUGUGAGGGCUGGAGCUAAAGCAGAGGGUGGGUGUGCAGAGGAGGGCGCCCGGACCUGGUCUGGUGAUGCCCCUGACCUAGGCGGCCAAGGGGAGAGACAGGAGCGGGGUCUCCCUGUCGGUGGCCACACUGCCUCCCCGCUGAUCCCAGAAGGUCUGUGCGGAGCGCCCCACCUCCACGUGCGCCAGAUCCGUACAACCUUGGGCAGAGAUUUAUCGAAAAACCAAGAACCAAAGAAAAUGAAGUCAUCAGAAUCACCCCCCCAUUCUCAGGAGCGAGCAGGCCCCGCCUCCAGCGCGUAGGCGCCCAGCGGCGAUCCAGGGCCCCCUCCAGCCCGUUUGCUCUGCAGAAUCCCAACACAUCCCAGCCCAGUGUCGGCUGCCUCCGCGCGGGCCUCACGUGGGCAAACGGACGGGUUUGGAAGAGUGCGCUGGCCGGGUUGAAGGGAUGUUCAGCCCUUCUUUCUCCCACGUGGGGACUGGGAAGGGGAGACGGUGCAGGGAAGGUGGGUUCCCACGCGGAGAAAUAAGGAUACAAAGAUAUGGCCGUUAUCUCCGCCCUCCCCCCCCCACCGACCACGUCCCAUCCUCCAGGAGUUCCUGGACCAGGCUUCUGGGAACCAAACAGAGUAAGCACAGCCUCCGUAUUGAUUCCAUCACAGAGAAACAGAGGUAGUUCCUUCUGUGUGGAAUCUCAGAAGCACGAGGUCAGCUUUCUUGAAAUCAUGACCCAUCAUCUCUGUCACUGAGACCCUGGGGCAAGUCGUGUUUCCGUGAUGCUUGGGGAUUUGCAUUUCUUGGGGCUGGCCUGUGCACUGGGGCCGUGGUGGGUGGGUAGGGCUGUCCUGUGCUCCUGGGGACAGGAGAAUGGCUGGAACUUCCACGUCCUGAACCUGCUGGCAAGAAGAAUCUUUGUUUUAUCUGCUUCAACGAAGCCCUCGUGAAGAAAGUCCUUAAGCUCUUUCCAAACUGCCGUCUUAGCUCAGGACCCAUCCCUCUACCUCCUCUGUGUGACGUUUUCCCUAUUAAGGGAUUUCUAAUGAUUUUUCCCUUGUGAACGUCUUCAGAGGGGUUCCCUGUUUUAUGCAUUAUGUUGGUGUACGUGUGUCCAUAUUCCUUCCAACGGUGUGUCUGUAGAGCUCGCCAGUUGUAGAGGGGGAGCUCAGAUCUCUCUGGGUCACCAAUAACAAUAUUAAUAACGAGGGCACCGACUGGAGAUGCUCCGAGGAGAACCUUCCCAACAUCCCCACUGACACCCCCCCUCCCAAGCCACCCAAAUAAAUCUUAAGUAUCAACAGUCUGCUUUGCUGUGUGUGGUAGGAUGAAUAAAGGCCCCGCAAAGACAGCCACAUCCUAA
Long non-coding RNA from Orcinus orca (killer whale), 6925 nucleotides. RefSeq lists it as uncharacterized. The record is from RefSeq and is a predicted model, not a curated record. NCBI's taxonomy places the organism in Eukaryota, Metazoa, Chordata, Mammalia, Artiodactyla, Delphinidae. The transcript has 4 exons.